Aegilops tauschii subsp. strangulata is the source of this 1204-nucleotide long non-coding RNA. RefSeq lists it as uncharacterized. The record is from RefSeq and is a predicted model, not a curated record. NCBI's taxonomy places the organism in Eukaryota, Viridiplantae, Streptophyta, Magnoliopsida, Poales, Poaceae.
UCCAUGCCCCCACAACCCUGCCGAUCUCGAACUAGGCUAAACCUAACUGUAUUGCCGGUGAGGUCGCCGCCUAGAGAGAGAAGAUGGAAAAUGGAAACCAUGGGUUGGACUGAGUCUCCACGCAAUCUCUGUCGAAGUCGAGCCGCCCGGGUCGCUACCAUUAUCUCCUUUUUUUCGUGCGGAUCGCCCGGAUCAGAGUUAGGCGAUGACAGCAUCGGAGGCCACUUCCUCCGGUCAUGCAUGUCCCUCUGAUCAAGGCACAAAAUCUCACCAGAAUUGUUAGGUCCGUGAUGGUGGAAGAGGAGAUGAGAGGAUGACGAGCAGGUAUGUGUCCCUCCCCCUUCCACGCCUCCCCUAUUUUUGAUUGAUCCACUUACUCGAUCUGGUGUCCAUGUUGGUGGAAGAGGAGUUGAGAGGAUGAGGAGCAGAGGGUCGGAUUUCAGAAAGUGGGAAGAAGCGGAGGCUAGCCAGUUGAAAUUUAUUGUCCUUAUCGUUAGGUCUCCCCCAAUCUCGUCCUUGAAGAACAGCGACCUUGCUCGAUCAGGGCAGCUCGUCAGCUUGCUUGCCAGCUGCAGGCCGAUUAAAUGAGUAUCUCAGGCACGCUGCUGUCCAAGACAUCAUACACGCUUCGGCCCUGCAUCAUUCAUAUCUUCUCCUAGGUGUGUGAGGAGGAGAAAUCAGGAGGACGAGGAGGAGAACAGUGAUCAUGUACAUGCGAAACGAGUUGUCCUCAUUUGUGUGUAAAAACAGUCAGUUUAAAGCUAUACAGAAUAUGGACAAAAUGGGGACAGAAAGCUCAAAGAUGGCAAAAAGGGACCUUCAGGAGAUAUUUCGGUUGACGACAGUACUAUCAACGAGCAUUUAUUUCAUCCACAAUAAAGUUAGAGGAUGAGUCCCGCCCUGCUUGUAAGUAGCUGCUAUAUCAACUUGAUGUUCUUGACUAAGAUCAUGGUAAGCUUUAAUUUAAAAUCAAAUUAUUAUUUAGGUUGUAUUUGUUUUUCUAUUCAGAAACUGCCUUACCUUGGUUUUGUGACACUGUAUUGGGUGUCUUCUUUUCCUUUGAAGUGUUGAGAUGUCAGGUUUGUGGAGAUCUUCAUUGUUCCUUCUUUUUUGAAGCUCACACCGAUGUAACAUGAUAGUUCUCUACCCUAACAAUGUAAUAUUGCGCAUCAAGAUUAUGCAUUAUGAAAUUUGUAUUUUCUUA